AAUUUUCUUAGCAAUCGCAAACAGGCAGUAGUUCUAGAGGGGGGAAAAUCUGAGUAUGUUGCAGUUGAGUCAGGGGUUCCACAGGGGUCAGUUCUUGGACCAAGUCUCUUCUUGUACUAUAUUAAUGACAUUCCAACUGGUCUAACAUCUACAGUACGUUUAUUUGCAGACGACACAAUAGUUUAUUUGGCAAUAAAAUCAAACUCCGAUGCAUUAACAUUACAAAAAGAUCUAGACAAACUGGCAUCGUGGGAAACUACUUGGAAAAUGGCAUUCCACCCAGAUAAGUGUAAUGUAAUUUCAGUCACCAGAAAUAAAAAACCAAUCACAUUUAACUACACAUUACACAAUCAUUCAUUAGAACAUGUAACAACAGCAAAAUAUCUGGGGGUCACCAUCAGUUCCAACCUUAAAUGGGAUGUGCAUAUUAACAACAUAUGCAAGAAAGCUAAUAGCACACUAGGCUUUCUAAGGAGGAACCUGAACAUAAGUUCAACAUCCAUUAAAGAGCAAGCAUAUAAGUCCCUAGUAAGACCAUCACUAGAGUAUGCUUGCUCUGUUUGGGAUCCAUACUUACAACAAGACAUAGAUAGCAUUGAAAAAGUUCAAAGGAGGGCUGCGCGUUUUGUUACCAACAAAUACAGAAACACCUCAAGCGUUGGUAACAUGUUACAACAUCUUGAAUGGCGCAGUCUCUCUGACAGAAGAAAAGACUCCAGAUUGGUAAUGCUUUACAAAAUUGAACACGAAAAGGUUGCAAUUCCUAAAAAUAAUAAAUUAAUUCCUCAAAAAAGACAAACAAGACAUUCUAAUUCGAACAGCUUCCAAAUUCCAUCCUGCAAAACACAGUACAGAAAAGAAUCAUAUUUUCCAAGAACUAUUACCGAC
This 888-nucleotide long non-coding RNA is filed under the name Mytilus galloprovincialis (Mediterranean mussel). Lineage: Eukaryota; Metazoa; Mollusca; Bivalvia; Mytilida; Mytilidae. The record is from RNAcentral.